ACCCAGGCUCUUUUAAGAGCCAUUACUUUUACAAAAAAUAUUAUAG
RNAcentral lists this non-coding RNA (46 nucleotides) under Paramuricea clavata. It matches the Rfam family "Histone 3' UTR stem-loop". Rfam says of the family: The mRNAs of metazoan histone genes lack a poly-A tail. 3' end processing occurs at a site between a highly conserved stem-loop (modelled by this family) and a purine rich region around 20 nts downstream (the histone downstream element, or HDE). Lineage: Eukaryota; Metazoa; Cnidaria; Anthozoa; Malacalcyonacea; Plexauridae. The record is from RNAcentral.